This 463-nucleotide ribosomal RNA is filed under the name uncultured bacterium. RNAcentral describes it as "partial 16S ribosomal RNA". It matches the Rfam family "Bacterial small subunit ribosomal RNA", at positions 28 to 507 of the family's 1533-position model. The record is from RNAcentral.
GAUGAACGCUGACAGAAUGCUUAACACAUGCAAGUCGAUGGGGAAGUGGUGCUUGCCCCAUGGCAACCAUGGCGGACGGGUGAGUAACGCGUAAGGGACUUACCUGCGGGACUGGGAUAACAGGGGGAAACUCCUGACAAGACCGGAUAAUGUCAUGGAGCUGCAUGGCUUUAUGAUGAAAGGAGACGCCUGCGGAGAGCCUUGCGUCCUAUUAGCUAGUUGGUGAGGUAAUGGCUCACCAAGGCGAAGAUAGGUAGCCGGCCUGAGAGGGUGGACGGCCACAAGGGGACUGAGAUACGGCCCUUACUCCUACGGGAGGCAGCAGUGGGGAAUAUUGGACAAUGGGGGCAACCCUGAUCCAGCAAUUCUGUGUGCACGAAGAAGGUUUUCGGAUUGUAAAGUGCUUUCAGCAGGGAAGAAGUAAGUGACGGUACCUGCAGAAGAAGCGACGGCUAAAUACGUG